Non-coding RNA from Chelonoidis abingdonii (Abingdon island giant tortoise), 5775 nucleotides. Lineage: Eukaryota; Metazoa; Chordata; Testudines; Testudinidae. The record is from RefSeq and is a predicted model, not a curated record.
GCAGGAAGCUCUGGGAGAGAGGGGAAGGAGCGAGGGUGUGGCCUUGGGGGAAGGGGUAGAAUGGGGCUAGGGCACCUAUAAAGCUGCUUCAAAGAUCUGCAACGUCUUGGCCGUGUAACUUUUUUUGUUUUUGUUUUACCUCUUCAAAGAUAAGACUAGAUCUGUAAUGUACAAUCAAUACUAACCAAAAUUAUCUUUUUCUUAGUGUUUGCAAUUUACCCACACGCUUUAGAGGCCUUCUACAGUACCACUAUCAGUAUGUGAAUCUUUAAAUGGUGGUUUGACUAGCAGUUGACAGCUAGCUUGCAGUCUGGGUAAACAUUAUCUGAUAGAUCUGCAACUUAAACAGGGCUGAAGUCACUAGUCAGGAACUCAUCUCUAUUCAGGAAGCGUGUUUAGUCCCAUUGAAGUCAAUGGGAAUUAAGCAUGGGCUUUCCUGAAUUGAGCGCCUUAAUUAUCUGGAAAAAAUAGUUUCUGAGAAGAGCUUUGCAGUCUGUUUCCAAAAUACAGCUAAAGAGGGUGCCUCUUCCCCCUGCCCCCCAAACGCCCCAAAGCAAGCCUGUGCCGUGCCCUUGAAGAGCAGGACUUCUGGAUCUUUUUAGUCACCUCUACCACAAAUGGGAGUCGAGCACAUGCUUUGCUGAGUUAGGGCCAGAAGCACCAUCCCAUUGCAGCAGUUCUGCUUUAUAUCUGCAGCAUGCAGAACAUAUCAACAGUCACUGAUGGCCUCCUGGCUACUUAAUAUUUUUUUAAAAACAUUUUUUUUCCAAUGGCCUUAUUCUUGUUGCAGAGUCGGGGGGAGGGGGGGGGGUUAUGUAUUUUCAGGACUUACCUGUGUAUGUGCAGUCACUGCCAUGUGCUAAGAGCCAAUUUGCCGAUGAAGAGAUGUCUCUGUGCUUGUGUAAGAUGUGUUUCAAAAAACUUGCUCAUCAGCCUAUGUGCUUGUGAGAAGCAAGGUAGCACAUUCCUUUUCAGAUCAUGUAAAAUUCAUUUGUUGGGAUGUCAAAUAAGUGUUAACAUCUCUUGUCGGUUUGCUUCUGUUUGAUUUUUCUUUUUGCUCAAAAAUGUAAAAACAGUUUUGGGGUUUCUGUUUUUAGCUUAAUGUUUUGCAGGGUGGCUUAUUCUUUCACUUUAAGUAGCCAAAACACACACUUUUCCCCAAGAGCCUCUCUUCAAGACAUUGCCACUACAUAAAGAAUGUAACUGAGAUGUGUAAGCCUCUAACUACAAAUAGUCAUCUAAAGUGAUAGAUGUGUUGGGAAGCACUACCUUACAAAUUGUAAGUCCUAUUGAAAAUGUCAGGACAGAAUAAACUUUUUAUAUUCUUAUUUCAAACAUGACACCUAGACAGUCUUGUUCAGCUGCUUGAAAAAUAGAUGUACGCACACGUUCUUUACACGGUAGUUUGGUAUCUGUUACAUUGCUCCAUGUUUAUAUUCCUUGUGAGACCAAGCAGAUCAAAGAGGUAUUUAUUUUUUGGAACCUGGUGUACACCUAAAACUUAGCUACAUCGCACAGGGGUGUGAAAAACUCUCACCCCAAGAGAUGUAGUUAAGCCAACCUAAGCCCCAGUAUAGACACCGCUAGAUUGACCUGCCUCUCAGAGGGGUGGUGGAUUUACUGCAGUGAUGGAAAAACCUCUUCUGUCGCUGUAGCAUCUACACUAUGGCACUACAGCAGCAUAGCUGCAGAGCUGUACUUAUGUCGCUGUAGCACCUGAAGUGUAGACACAUCCAUAGAGCAGCAGAUCUCAAACUUUUAGAGUGGGCUACAGCUGACAAGACUGUCACAUGGACCAUCUUCCCUUCCCAUUUGUGAGCUCACUACACCUCUGUGGCUGUUACGUCCGUGGAAAAGUAACAUUUGCAAAGUAGCAAGUGUAUUUUGAUGCAAUUUAAAGAUUGGAAACUUUCACUCUGCGGCCUGUAUCAUGCUAGAGGUCAGGUUAGAUGAUCAUACUGGUCACUUCUGACCUUAAAAAGAUCUAUGAAAAACCAGGAGGGCCUUUACCAUGUGACCAAUCAAUUCCCCAGUGGACCAUCGGCAUGUGUUUCACAGAUCCACGGUCUGAGAACCUCUGCCUUAGGGACAUUAGGACAUUUAACCUCUGACAAUAAAAAUCAACGCCACACUUUCAUCCAUACAUCAGGAGUCAGGAUUUUUCAGGUGCAGCUCAACAAUGAAAAGUGCUUUUGCAGCAAGUAUAGGAUGUGAAAGAUUCAGACCUACCAGCAAGGAGGAAUCUCACCUACAUCUUACUUGAGAGCAGAAAUUCAAGUUGGCUAACAGUAUUAGUUAUCUCCAGAAUUCUUCCUUAUGGGAGAGAAAAUGUUGUUUCUUCUUUCAGUUCUAACACCAGCAUGACCAGCAAGUGUUUAGAACAAACUGAUCAUUUUAAAAGCACCAUAGAGUUAGAAUUUGGACUAUGCAAUAAAAUUAUCACUUGCCAUCUACCUCUAUCAUGUAUAUUGCACACUAUCAGUGCCCUUAAUUUAAGGAUGCAAAGAUAAGGACAAGUAGCCUAACUCAGACCUUGCAACACUAGCAGGAUUGUAAAGUAUUGAACUAAUCUAUGGCUGAAUAUAUUCACUCUAGGUAAGUGGACUUGUUAGAUACCUAUCAGAGGCUUUCUGGUUAUACACUUGAUCCUAUUCAUCUGCACUCAAAUUUGACUGACUUUUUUAGUGGGUGUUAUGAACAGAAAGACCUCUGGUUCAAGGCCUUAAUUCUAGAUAUCUGAAUUUAAACCUGCUUGCCAACAUAUCUGUGCAUUUAUAUUACCUUUAGGUGGCUUAACUCCAUGGCAGGAGUUAUGUUAAAGGAGAAGUUCAAAGCUACUUGAUUUUUUUUUCUUUUUAUUUGGCUUUGCUUGCUUGCAACAUCUAGUUCCCAACAGCUGGUUACAUUUAUCAGACAUAAAAUUAAAAGUGGGGAGGCUAAUGCUACCAGCCAAGAUUCUCAAAAAUACAAGCCUAAACCUGCUCCAUGUUUAGGCACCUUAACAAGUGGCUUGACUUUCAAACACGCUAGGCACUCCAGCAGUUUCCACUACCCUCAGUGUUUUUGACACCUACCUACCUUGUUUACUGUGGAUUCAGCAGUUGGGUAGCAAUCACUAAUGUUUAUUAGAUGCAUUUUAUCCAUUAGUGAUUUUAAAAUCAAUUUAUAUCAUAUUUUUGGCAUCUGAUGGCAGAAGAUGAAUGGCCAGGAGGAACACUUCAUACUGGAAGAUUUUUUUCUUAAAUUAUAGUGAUUGCUCAGGAAGUGACUAAGUCAGGACACUCUUCCUCAACAGCUUGGUGGUUCUGAGAGUCAGACCUUAUUUAUUUUGCAAACAUUAAGGCCUGAUCUUACAAUUGACAAUAUGCAGACAAAGCAAUCUCUUGAUUUUAGUGGAGCUGCACCUGCAUUGUGUAAAUUGCAGGACCACGGUUUAAAUAUACAGUUUUGGUUAAUGCUCCAAAACCAGUAUAGCUGUAGAAGAAAAAUUCUAACUGGAGAAACAUUUACUGAUGGAAGGCAGGAGAACAUAGUAAAUCUUCACUGGAGUCAACGAGAGAAUAAACAGAGAAUCCCAUAGCAUCAGUUUUAGUCACUUUUCCUGAUAACUGCACUUUAGACACCUGUGUGUAAUAUGCUUGAAUGUUUUGAAGCCUAUAUGCUUAACUUUUAAUAUUGAUUCUGAAUUAUUUGCUAUAGCGGUAUUGUGGACAGAAUAUUUUAUGCAAUAUAUUGGAUAGUACAGUGUACCUUGACAUGGAUGGAAUAUAGCAUGGAUUAUUCUGUACAUGAACAAAAAUGUUUCUUGCAUGUCAGGGAUGUUCUCUACUUUCUUUGCUUUUGAAAAUCCGAUAAUGUAAUGACACAGUUACAUUUUAAAGUGUUUUUUGUCAUUGAGCAUGCAAAACUACAUACAAUUAGCUGAUGCUGCUAAGUGCCUGAUUUUUCUCAGUCACCAUGUUCUCCGAGCAUGAAAUUAUAUUGUUUUGUUUUUUGAUAGUGUGGGCAAGAUCCCAAAGGGUGGUGGGUUUUGUUACAUGAUUAUUUAGCUAUUACAAAAAAAAAAAUCCUAUAAUGCAGAAUUCAAAUGGUGUUUUUUAGUGGACCUCCAGAAAUAUGCAGUACUGCAUUAUCCAGCCUUUUUCUGCCUUAUUCCUCAACUAGCACAAUAAGCAUAGUUUCCAUCCAUCUCUUAUUAUCGUACUAUGAAUCAGCUGAGAUUUUGAAAGCCAACCAGGGGACUUAACCACACAGCCCACAUUUAUUUCAAUGAGAGUUCUGUGGCUAAUUCACUCCUGAACCUGCUGUUUGACAACACCUGAGUGGACUGCUGCUCCCAUGGAGAGUCUCGUUGGCUUCUUGGGAGUUCCAGGCAGGCACAAGCGUUGGCAGGCUAUCAGUUAUAAAAUUGGGGCCUAAAUCCCCUAGCUGGCUCUGAAAAUCUCUGUUUUCACUUGGUGGAACCAUUUAACUACUUUCAAUUACAAAUCUGUAAUUGCCGUUUUGCAUUCAGUUUCAAUUACAAACUGAACUGAGUCAAAUUUGUACAGGCCUCUAAAUCGGCACCUGCACAUUUUUUGCACACAGAAUCCCACAGUUGUUGAGCACAAAUCAGGUAGUUACCUAUCUUGAGAAUGCAUUGAUGAGAUUUUGCAAGUGAAAGUUUAAUGACCCAUUUGAUUAUCUGGCAUGUCAUGAAUCUGGCUGUAGUUAAACAAAGCACUUAAGACCAUUCUUAAAAUUAUGCUUAAGUCCAUCCCUCUUUUACAAAACUUUGAAGCAUACGAAGUCCCACUGAAUGAGACUUAAGGAUGUGCUUAAAUGCUGUGCUGAAUAGGAAUAGACUUUUGCAUGUGCUUAAAUCAGGGAUCCCCAAUGCAGUGCCCAUGUGUGCCAAGGUGUCGCCGGGGGGUCUAAGUGCUCCUGCAUACUGGCCUGUGGAUGAGCAUCCACCAAAAUGCCGCCGACAAGCUGCAUCAUCCAGAGGCGUUGCCACCGAUUUUCAGCAGCAGCGCCUCUGGAUGACACUACUUUUCGGCGGCAACACCUAUUGACAUUGCCACUUGGCGGAAUUUCAGCAGAUGUUCGUCUGCUGCCACGGUCCUCCAUGGCUCGCCUGGCGCCUGCCAGACGAAAAAGGUUGGGGACCACUGGCUUAAAUGCUUUGCUGAAUUGAGGCCUCAGUCAAUGUCUUGCAACAGAAUUUUGCUCCAGUGUUUGACCAUGCACAGUAUUGCUCCCAGGGCUGAGGGAAGGGAAAUUCUAGGCACAUAGAGUGAUUUGGUUACUGCUGGUCUCAUGUUCUGUCCAAUUGAUGUUGACUCUGUUGAACCCAGUUUAAUGCACUGAUAAUGCAUUGUUUACUGUUUAGAAGAUAACCUGUCUAUGGACAUGGAAUAGCCAAUGUGUUAUAUGACCAAACUUUCUAACAUCAACACUAUUUUGUUUUAGCGUAAUCUUUGUUUUCCAAUUCAAGAUAUUGUUGCAGAUGAAUUCACUGUGACCAAAAAUAUAUAAAUAGGGGUUGACUAUAUGUAAUAGCAGUUGUGCUAAGAAAUGUUUAGUAAAUAUUUUGAUAUACUGCACUCAAUCUUCAUAUGGAAACAACUGGCAACUAACCCUGGGCGUAUGUGCGCCAACCCUUUUUUUGUUUUGCAAAACACAUCAGCUUUGAGAUAUUUAAGUAAUAAUGUAUUUAAUCUAUUAUCCAUGCUGCAUUCAAGUACUAAGUGUCUUUAUAGUUAACAUUAUUAAAGAAUUUUGUUUUAAAUAAGA